Molecule: ribosomal RNA, 253 nt
Filed under: uncultured bacterium
Lineage: Bacteria
Description: partial 16S ribosomal RNA
Rfam family: Bacterial small subunit ribosomal RNA
Source: RNAcentral
UACAGAGGGUGCGAGCGUUGUCCGGAAUCACUGGGCGUAAAGGGCGCGUAGGUGGCGACCCAAGUCCAUGGUGAAAGCUCGAUGCUCAACAUCGAGUCGGCCACGGAUACUGGGUUGCUGGAGCACUGUAGAGGCAGAUGGAAUUCCGGGUGUAGCGGUGAAAUGCGUAGAUAUCAGGAGGAACACCUGUGGCGAAAGCGGCUCACUGGACCAUUACUGACGCUGAGGCGCGAAAGCUAGGGGAGCAAACAGG